ACCAGCGUCCAUAGGGCGUUGAACACACCGGAUCUCGUUCUAUCACCCAUGUUAAGCAACGUUGGGCAUGGUUGGUACUUGGAUGGGUGACCAUUCCUCUGAGGAUCCUCCAUGUGAUGCUCCAC
Molecule: ribosomal RNA, 125 nt
Filed under: Diaphorina citri (Asian citrus psyllid)
Lineage: Eukaryota; Metazoa; Arthropoda; Insecta; Hemiptera; Psyllidae
Source: RNAcentral